UUGGAAUAGUCGGCCAGCAGAUAUAGAUGGCCUUCUCGAGUGGUGUAAGGGCUAGGACGCGACGCCCUCUGCGUUCUUAAGGCCUCAGACUUUCUUCUGCGGCCGGCUGGAUUGGAUGCUCGAAGGCCUGGACCCUUCCUACAGCUGAGCCAACGGGAACGCGGAACCUCCGUGGAUCUGCCAAUAGAGAGCGCUCGGCCGUGGGCUGGCGGGGUCUCUGAAUCCCGGAGCACCUGGAACCCAGCACCUGCCUGCAUGUUUAAGAUAUGUAAGAAGACUGCAAUAGUUAAAACGGUUCCCAUUGUCACAGACGUGUGCCCGUGUGCACUGGAAUGCUCUCUAUGAAGAAUGACAGACUGAGUGGACAGAACUGAGCUCAGAGUCCAUAAGGAGCAGGUUAUUUUGAGCCAUCUCUGUCUACGAUGUAAGCAGGUUGAUGGAACGGAGUCCUUGGAAACUCAGCAUGGGCUAGAGUUCUGAGCUUUAGCCGGAAAGGGCAAAUUUCCCUUUAUGAAACAUUUAAACAGUCAACUUGCUCAGGCCGGUUCUCCAUUGCCUGUCUUAUUGGACUCAUCACUGCUAUAGGCUGCGCCUUGGGCUUAGAUCCUGCUGGAAAAAUACCACGUGAAUCUUCACUGGCAGAUGUGCUACCUGAUCACCGAACAGCCCCUGCCAGAACCUCUGCUGUGAGCACGACAAAAGCUGGCCAAUCUCCUCCAGGCUGGCCAGGCUCCAGCCCUAAAAGUAACUCAC
Molecule: long non-coding RNA, 753 nt
Filed under: Rattus norvegicus (Norway rat)
Lineage: Eukaryota; Metazoa; Chordata; Mammalia; Rodentia; Muridae
Description: long non-coding RNA NONRATT003306
Source: RNAcentral